Phoenix dactylifera (date palm) is the source of this 400-nucleotide non-coding RNA. The record is from RefSeq and is a predicted model, not a curated record. NCBI's taxonomy places the organism in Eukaryota, Viridiplantae, Streptophyta, Magnoliopsida, Arecales, Arecaceae.
CGAAAGUACUCGAUCCCAUCAUCUCUAGGGUUUGCCUUCUCUGAAAGGAGAUAGGGGGGAUGAAGUGGAGAACACCAACUCGAUUCUUUGGCCCAGCACUCAAUCACGUGGACAGGCAAGUAGGAUCAAUAGAAAUGAAGGAGGGUCAAGACUUGGAGUACGCACUAGCAAGCUUGGCAAUUAUGUAACAGAGCUUUAGAUCUUUAGUUGGUCAUGGAUUUGUAGCUUAAUAAAUUUUUUAAGAGAUGUGAGUUAUGGGUUGGAUAUUUAUAUUUGGAUGUAGAUGCUGUGAACUGAUGUCUUACUUUGUUAUGUAAUGGAUGACGAAGUUGGAUUUCUAUUUAUUAUAUUUUGUUUGAUAUAGAAAUGGAAGCUAAAAGAAAUGUUUGGCUUCGUGUUA